RNAcentral lists this ribosomal RNA (468 nucleotides) under uncultured bacterium. Its description in RNAcentral is "partial 16S ribosomal RNA". It matches the Rfam family "Bacterial small subunit ribosomal RNA", at positions 28 to 507 of the family's 1533-position model. The record is from RNAcentral.
GACGAACGCUGGCGGCGUGCUUAACACAUGCAAGUCGAACGGACAGGCCCUGCUCUUGUUGGUCGCUCGAGUGGCGAACUGGUGAGUAACACGUGAGUAACCUGCCCUUGACUUUCGGAUAACUUCAGGAAACUCGGGCUAAUACCGCAUAUGACCUCCUGCUGCAUGGUGGGGGUCGGAAAGUUUCGGCGGUUGGGGUUGUACUCGCGGCUUAUCAGCUUGUUGGUGGGGUAGUGGCUUACCAAGGCUUUGACGGGUAGGCGGCCUGAGAGGGUGACCGGCAACAUUGGGACUGAGAUACGGCCCAGACUCCUACGGGAGGCAGCAGUGGGGAAUAUUGCAGAAUGGGCGGAAGCCUGAUGCAGAAACGCCGCGUGCGGAAUAACGGCCUUCGGGUUGUAAACCGCUUUCGCCUGUGACGAAGCGUGAGUGACGGUAAUGGGUAAAGAAGCACCGGCUAACUACGUG